RNA transcript from Pseudonaja textilis, 2025 nucleotides. It is a transcript of the gene named eukaryotic translation initiation factor 4A2, with no coding region annotated. NCBI's taxonomy places the organism in Eukaryota, Metazoa, Chordata, Lepidosauria, Squamata, Elapidae. The record is from RefSeq and is a predicted model, not a curated record.
GACGCUGCCUUUUCAGUUGGGGAGAGCGGUAGUAAUCGGAACAUGUCAGGCGGAUCCGCGGAUUACAGCAGAGACCAUGGCCCCGAGGGAAUGGAUCCUGAUGGUGUCAUUGAGAGCAAUUGGAAUGAAAUUGUCGACAAUUUCGAUGACAUGAAUUUAAAAGAAUCCCUUCUGAGAGGAAUUUAUGCCUAUGGUUUUGAGAAGCCUUCAGCUAUCCAGCAACGUGCUAUUAUUCCAUGUAUUAAAGGGUAUGAUGUGAUUGCUCAAGCUCAGUCAGGUACUGGCAAGACAGCCACAUUUGCUAUUUCAAUCCUGCAACAGUUGGAGAUUGAUCUCAAGGAGACCCAAGCACUAGUAUUGGCCCCCACCAGAGAACUGGCUCAACAGAUCCAGAAAGUUAUUUUGGCACUUGGAGAUUAUAUGGGCGCCACUUGUCAUGCUUGCAUUGGUGGUACAAAUGUUCGCAAUGAGAUGCAGAAGCUCCAAGCAGAGGCUCCCCACAUUGUGGUGGGAACUCCUGGGCGUGUAUUUGAUAUGUUAAAUAGACGCUAUCUGUCACCUAAAUGGAUCAAAAUGUUUGUCUUGGAUGAAGCAGAUGAAAUGUUAAGCCGGGGGUUUAAGGAUCAGAUCUAUGAAAUUUUUCAGAAGUUAAGCACAAACAUUCAGGUUGUAUUGCUUUCUGCAACUAUGCCAAUGGAUGUGUUAGAAGUGACUAAAAAGUUCAUGAGAGACCCUAUUCGUAUUUUAGUGAAGAAAGAAGAAUUGACCCUUGAGGGUAUCAAGCAAUUCUACAUUAAUGUGGAAAGAGAGGAAUGGAAGCUGGAUACCCUGUGUGAUUUAUAUGAAACCUUGACUAUUACCCAGGCUGUUAUUUUCCUCAAUACAAGAAGGAAAGUAGAUUGGCUUACAGAGAAAAUGCAUGCUAGAGACUUCACUGUUUCUGCCCUGCAUGGUGACAUGGAUCAGAAGGAGCGAGAUGUUAUCAUGAGAGAGUUUAGGUCAGGAUCAAGCCGUGUCCUGAUUACUACUGAUUUGCUGGCUCGUGGCAUUGACGUGCAGCAAGUAUCUUUGGUUAUAAAUUACGAUCUGCCAACCAAUCGUGAAAACUAUAUUCACAGGAGUCGCUAGCCCAGUUGAUGACGAGAUGGUGCUCAGAAACGACGACGUAAUUUAGGACGUGGAUUCGUAAGCGGCACACUGUUUGCAUAAAGAGCGAGUUGGAUUGGUCGAGGUGGUCGUUUUGGCAGGAAAGGUGUGGCUAUAAACUUUGUCACUGAGGAGGACAAGCGGAUCCUUCGGGAUAUUGAGACUUUCUACAAUACUACAGUGGAGGAAAUGCCUAUGAAUGUGGCUGACCUCAUUUAAUCCCUGGGAUGAGAUGUUUUUGGAAUGCAGUGCUCGCUGUUGCUGACCAGGCGAUCCACAACGUGCAUUGUGCUUCUUGGGGGAUACAUUGAAUCUUGUCUCAAUGCUCAUUACGGAUCAGAAAUACAGAUUUUUGAUAAGCAAAGCGACAUUUUGUCGUGAGCUUUUGUGGGGGAGAGCCAUUGGCUUUCUCCUCUUUAGGGUUUAGACUGUUGGGGUUGGGUGGAAAGUCAUGGGGUCUGUAAAUUUUUUCUUUAUUAGAAAUUUAUUUCCUAGUUCUGUAGAAGUGGUAGUGCUAGAUGUUCUUUAUCAUUUAAUAAUUUACUUAUGGACUAAAAGAUAUAAGUGCUGUAUAAAAUCAGCCAAUUAUGUUAAACUAGCAUACCUACCUUUAUUGUAUGUUAUCCUAUAUUAGAGUAAAUUGGAAAGGCCUUUCAAAAUGACUAAUCUUUUAUAAGAACAUAAAAAUGCAUUUUUGUUUGGUAUGUAUUUAUUGAAUAAAGUAUUUAAUUAGUGUUAAGUGUGAUCUGGACCCUGUUGCUAAACCCUGCAAGCAAUCAUUACUAUUGUCUUAGUUAGGGUUUAGACCCAUUAAAUCGCCAUAUUGCACAUGUCUUAAUGAAGUUUGAAUGUUCAAUAAAAUAUUAUAUAUUCACUUCA